AGAUGCGAUCAUACCAACACUAAUGCAUCGGAUCCCAUCAGAACUCCGUAGUUAAGAGUGCUUGGGUGAGAAUAGUACUAAGAUGGGCUUUGCCACAGGAAUUUCACAAACACAGGAA
Molecule: ribosomal RNA, 118 nt
Filed under: Cephalotus follicularis
Lineage: Eukaryota; Viridiplantae; Streptophyta; Magnoliopsida; Oxalidales; Cephalotaceae
Source: RNAcentral